RNAcentral lists this ribosomal RNA (451 nucleotides) under uncultured bacterium. Its description in RNAcentral is "bacterial SSU rRNA". It matches the Rfam family "Bacterial small subunit ribosomal RNA", at positions 362 to 825 of the family's 1533-position model. The record is from RNAcentral.
UAUUGCACAAUGGGCGCAAGCCUGAUGCAGCGACGCCGCGUGAGGGAUGACGGCCUUCGGGUUGUAAACCUCUUUCAGUAGGGAAGAAGCGAAAGUGACGGUACCUGCAGAAGAAGCGCCGGCUAACUACGUGCCAGCAGCCGCGGUAAUACGUAGGGCGCAAGCGUUAUCCGGAAUUAUUGGGCGUAAAGAGCUCGUAGGCGGUUUGUCGCGUCUGCCGUGAAAGUCCGGGGCUCAACUCCGGAUCUGCGGUGGGUACGGGCAGACUAGAGUGAUGUAGGGGAGACUGGAAUUCCUGGUGUAGCGGUGAAAUGCGCAGAUAUCAGGAGGAACACCGAUGGCGAAGGCAGGUCUCUGGGCCUUAACUGACGCUGAGGAGCGAAAGCAUGGGGAGCGAACAGGAUUAGAUACCCUGGUAGUCCACGCCGUAAACGUUGGGCACUAGGUGUGG